RNAcentral lists this ribosomal RNA (473 nucleotides) under uncultured organism. RNAcentral describes it as "partial 16S ribosomal RNA". It matches the Rfam family "Bacterial small subunit ribosomal RNA", at positions 333 to 797 of the family's 1533-position model. The record is from RNAcentral.
ACACUCCUACGGGAGGCAGCAGUGGGGAAUUUUGGACAAUGGGCGAAAGCCUGAUCCAGCAAUGCCGCGUGAGUGAAGAAGGCCUUCGGGUUGUAAAGCUCUUUUGUCAGGGAAGAAACGGUGAGAGCUAAUAUCUCUUGCUAAUGACGGUACCUGAAGAAUAAGCACCGGCUAACUACGUGCCAGCAGCCGCGGUAAUACGUAGGGUGCAAGCGUUAAUCGGAAUUACUGGGCGUAAAGCGUGCGCAGGCGGUUUUGUAAGUCUGAUGUGAAAUCCCCGGGCUCAACCUGGGAAUUGCAUUGGAGACUGCAAGGCUAGAAUCUGGCAGAGGGGGGUAGAAUUCCACGUGUAGCAGUGAAAUGCGUAGAUAUGUGGAGGAACACCGAUGGCGAAGGCAGCCCCCUGGGUCAAGAUUGACGCUCAUGCACGAAAGCGUGGGGAGCAAACAGGACUAGAUACCCCGGUAGUCCCA